Molecule: transfer RNA, 67 nt
Filed under: Ancistrus cryptophthalmus
Lineage: Eukaryota; Metazoa; Chordata; Actinopteri; Siluriformes; Loricariidae
Description: tRNA-Cys
Rfam family: tRNA
About the family: Transfer RNA (tRNA) molecules are approximately 80 nucleotides in length.
Source: RNAcentral
AGCCCCGUGGUGUUCGGCACAUCAGAUUGCAAAUCUGAAGGAGCGGGCUAAUUGCUUGCCGGGGCUU